AAGGGGUAAGUAGAGUGGCAAACGGGUGAGUAACACGUGGGUGGCCUGCCUUCGAGUGGAGGAUAACGUCCCGAAAGGGACGCUAAUACCGCAUAACAUCCUGCCUUUUAAGAGGUGGACAUCAAAGCUGGGGAUCGCAAGACCUAGCGCUUGACGAGGGGCCCGCGCCUGAUUAGCUAGUUGGUGGGGUAAUGGCUCACCAAGGCAACGAUCAGUAUCCGGCCUGAGAGGGCGGACGGACACACUGGGACUGAGACACGGCCCAGACUCCUACGGGAGGCAGCAGUGGGGAAUUGUUCGCAAUGGGCGCAAGCCUGACGACGCAACGCCGCGUGGAGGAUGAAGACCUUCGGGUCGUAAACUCCUUUCGAUCGAGACGAAUGGCCUCCGGGUGAACA
This 398-nucleotide ribosomal RNA is filed under the name uncultured bacterium. RNAcentral describes it as "bacterial SSU rRNA". It matches the Rfam family "Bacterial small subunit ribosomal RNA", at positions 81 to 465 of the family's 1533-position model. The record is from RNAcentral.